AUAUCAUUGCCUGCAGGUGGGAUCUGUUGCAGUAUUCAAUGAAUAAGUAUCAAUCUCUUCUCUGCGGUUCUGGGGAAGCGGUUGUAUGUCUGGGUCCUGGGCCAAGUAGAUUGAUCGUUUGUUUGAUAUUCCCGCUAGAAUAUUUUCCAAGAAGGAAUCCGGGGAUGUCCAUGAUUCGAGUGAUAUUGGCGCUCCACUUUCAUAUGGGAUCUCUUUCGUAUUGGAUGUGGAUGGGUCUAGAGAAUGGCAUGGCCUGUACUUGUUGUGAGGAAGCCCACCUGUUGCGAAGAAUAGGAUCCAUCCCGUUGCCAAAGAAGAGGUUGCUUGUCAAAGAAGAGGCUGGUAUCGGCUUUCCCUAGUGCUCCCUGGCAAUAUUUCCACAAGAUGCCCGUAUACAGAUUUGAAAGAAUUUCAUGAAUGAGAUCAUUUCUGUUGCGAGGAAUGCCAUUGGCAGUCAACUCUUGACUCGUAUCUUGAGAAUGGACGCUGGCCUAAACCCCUCUUUGGAGUAGGCCUACCUUUCUAAGGCUGUCUACAACAAUGUCCUCUAAAUUUCGUUCUCUAAAAGAAUAUUCUCUGUCCUUUACAGCACUCCCUAAAAAAUUUCGUCCUCUAUAUAUUCUCAAUCUCCAGCAACGUUCUCUAAAUUCGGUCCUCUAUAUCUACAGUGUUGACAGAAUUUAGAAACUAUCAUAUUUAUUCUAUCUUUUGCAUAUAAUUUGAAUUUGUCCUAAUGUACUUAAUUCAAAAAACCUAAUUAACAUUUUGCGCUACGUCACUUUUUUAGCAUAUAUAUUAAUUAAAAAACUAAUAACGAGCUGUAUGUUCAUGUUUUUUUGGCUGUUUUCGUUUGCUUGUCCUCCACCUAGCCUUUUUCUUUGGCCGAACACGCUACAGCCUACAACACCAGACCAAGCUGUCGCUCCUCGAUUCCAUUCAUGGCCGCCGCCGCCGCUCCUCAGAUCUCUGUCCAUGGCUAGCGCCACCUCCACUCGGUCGUCUGCUACAAACGCCACUGCCUCUCUUCCCAACAACGACUCCUUUCUCCAACCAAGCCCAAGAAAUCGAUGCUCGCGUUUGGCCGGAUGAAGCGACUCCGUGCGCUGCUGGUCGACGGCGGCGUGCUCCAUGGUCAUCGCCGCCGCCGCCGCCGCCACCUCCCAAGUCCGUGCUCGAUUUCACAGGAAGGACAGAUAGCGGACGCACAGUGAAUCGCUGAGAAUAGCGUGUACGAACAUCGUCCGGUACUUUAGCGACUGGUUUAGCCUUCGUUGCUGGAGGAUGUAGCGGACGCUUGGAUCGCUAAAUUUAGCGUACAGGAGUGUAUAGAGUUUGUUGUUGAAGACAACCUAAUCUAACAAGUGAAUACUAAAUACUUACUAAACUAAACUAAACAAAGUAGUAGAUUUCUUCCGUCACAGCUCUGCAGCUGUCCCUCACCAAUGUCAAAGAUAGGCCACGGAUUACAUUCAAGGGAUAUCUUGCU
RNAcentral lists this long non-coding RNA (1486 nucleotides) under Zea mays. RNAcentral describes it as "long non-coding RNA (ZMAY_LNC002907)". Lineage: Eukaryota; Viridiplantae; Streptophyta; Magnoliopsida; Poales; Poaceae. The record is from RNAcentral.